Cheilinus undulatus (humphead wrasse) is the source of this 483-nucleotide long non-coding RNA. RefSeq lists it as uncharacterized. The record is from RefSeq and is a predicted model, not a curated record. The transcript is spliced from 2 exons. NCBI's taxonomy places the organism in Eukaryota, Metazoa, Chordata, Actinopteri, Labriformes, Labridae.
CUGAAGCCCAGAUCGAGCUGAAACUUUGCUGAAGCAGCUUCUGCAUUUAAACACUUCAACGACUGGAAGCAGCACGCAGACCUGCAGAGAAACACAGAUGGAAAUCCAUAAACAGGAGCUGAAUAAAAGGGCUGCGGCGAUGUUCGGCGUGCACAACGGCGACUCUAAUCCACUCCAUGAGAGGAGGGAGGAGCAGGAACGGCCUGGAGAGGAGAUGGCAUGAUGUCAGCAGAGUUUCAUCUCCUUUCUGUCCGAUUUUAUUCCUUUAUUUAACCUAAAUCCAGUUUUUUAUGUUCAAAUUUUCAUUUGUUUCUAUAAAAUCAGUCUUUCUACAGGCAACGUUUAAAUGUGCACAAAAAUGUAACAAAUCUAUGGCUUCAUUAUAACCUGAGAAAUGCUGCUGUUUAUGUUUUAAAUGUCACAUUCAAUUGUGGCUUGUUCUUAACUUAUUAGAAACUUUGAUAAACUAAUUCUGAAAAAUGA